RNAcentral lists this long non-coding RNA (715 nucleotides) under Gouania willdenowi (blunt-snouted clingfish). RNAcentral describes it as "lncRNA (ENSGWIG00000007822.1)". The record is from RNAcentral. Lineage: Eukaryota; Metazoa; Chordata; Actinopteri; Blenniiformes; Gobiesocidae.
AUGGAGCCUUUUCACAAAUACCUGUGGCUGUGGAUGAUCGUAGCGACUCUUCUACUGACCGGCCUCAUCAUCUUCCUCUUCAUCAUCAUCAACAAGUGCAUCUCCAGCUCAGCGAAACCAACGCUUCACAGAAGAGACGACUUCACCGGGAGAAACAACAAAUACACAGAGAGUGAAACUCCUCCUCUUCCUCCUCGGAAUCAGUAUCUGACAACAGUUUCAGAAAGCUAUGAGAACCUGCAAACCGCCCACCAUGAGCCCCAGCACUGCGACGUCCUGAGCCUAACUUUGGGGGCUCAGACGCCCCAAAACUACGAGAGUUUCCCGGUGAAGCAGAGCGAGGACGAGCAGUCGUUAUACGUUCAGCUGGCGGAGAACGAGCUGGUUUUCUCACAUAUAUCCAACGACUCAUCCAACGACUACGACGACGUCGGCGUGGAAGAAGAAGAUGAUGGCGAUUAUGACGAUGUUGGAUGAAAUAUUUGACGUGAUUGACCAAAUAGAAGAAAGUUUGUCAGAUUUUUUGACCAUCUCUUACUAUUGUCUGUUAAACCGUCAUGUGACCCUCAAAUUUUAUCCUUAGGGUCAAUGUGACCCCAGCACUUGAAAACAACAUUAAAUAGUUAGAGUUAAAACAUUUUAACCAAAUUUGUGUAUCAGACUCUUUAUGCUUGUGUUUAAUUACAAAAAUAUAUAAUUAAAAGCAUGGGUCCUU